Molecule: ribosomal RNA, 513 nt
Filed under: uncultured bacterium
Lineage: Bacteria
Description: partial 16S ribosomal RNA
Rfam family: Bacterial small subunit ribosomal RNA
Source: RNAcentral
GACGAACGCUGGCGGCGUGCUUAACACAUGCAAGUCGAACGAGAGCGUAGAGAAAGCUUGCUUUUUCUACAAUCUAGUGGCAAACGGGUGAGUAACGCGUAAACAACCUGCCCUACGGAUGGGGACAACAGCUGGAAACGGCUGCUAAUACCGAAUACGUUCCGAAAGUCGCAUGACUAUCGGAAGAAAGGAUGGCCUCUAUUUAUAAGCUAUCGCCGGAGGAGGGGUUUGCGUCUGAUUAGCUAGUUGGAGGGGUAACGGCCCACCAAGGCGACGAUCAGUAGCCGGACUGAGAGGAUGAACGGCCACAUUGGAACUGAGACACGGUCCAGACUCCUACGGGAGGCAGCAGUGGGGAAUCUUCCGCAAUGGGCGAAAGCCUGACGGAGCAACGCCGCGAGAGGGAAGACGGCCUUCGGGUUGUAAAGCUCUGUUAUACGGGACGAAUAAUCUUGUGGUUAAUACCCAUGAGAAGUGACGGUACCGUAAGAGAAAGCCACGGCUAACUACGUG